Molecule: non-coding RNA, 28 nt
Filed under: Mus musculus (house mouse)
Lineage: Eukaryota; Metazoa; Chordata; Mammalia; Rodentia; Muridae
Source: RNAcentral
UGGCCUUGGAGGUAUGGCUCUUGUGUCA